UGGGGAAUAUUGGACAAUGGGCGAAAGCCUGAUCCAGCCAUGCCGCGUGUGUGAAGAAGGUCUUCGGAUUGUAAAGCACUUUAAGUUGGGAGGAAGGGCAGUAAGCGAAUACCUUGCUGUUUUGACGUUACCAACAGAAUAAGCACCGGCUAACUCUGUGCCAGCAGCCGCGGCAAUACAGAGGGUGCAAGCGUUAAUCGGAAUUACUGGGCGUAAAGCGCGCGUAGGUGGUUCGUUAAGUUGAAUGUGAAAGCCCCGGGCUCAACCUGGGAACUGCAUCCAAAACUGGCGAGCUAGAGUAGGGCAGAGGGUGGUGGAAUUUCCUGUGUAGCGGUGAAAUGCGUAGAUAUAGGAAGGAACACCAGUGGCGAAGGCGACCACCUGGGCUCAUACUGACACUGAGGUGCGAAAGCGUGGGGAGCAAACAGG
RNAcentral lists this ribosomal RNA (429 nucleotides) under Pseudomonadota bacterium. RNAcentral describes it as "Proteobacteria bacterium partial 16S ribosomal RNA". It matches the Rfam family "Bacterial small subunit ribosomal RNA", at positions 355 to 776 of the family's 1533-position model. The record is from RNAcentral. Lineage: Bacteria; Pseudomonadati; Pseudomonadota.